AUGCUCUGCAAUGCCUUGGCUAUGAAAGCUGUGGGAGAGGCAACGCUUCUUCCCAUGGCCGCUCUGUUCAGCGGGGCCCUUCUCCAUUCCCUGGUGCCUGACAUCAGUAAAGCUCCACCAGCUCCUGGGGGACGGUGGCAGUGCUGUGCUGGGGACACCAACCCUUGCCCUCCUCUCCCACGGGGUCACUGGGUAGCGAGUGGCUUCCAUGGCAGAGGAUGGAGGAGAAAUGGUGGCAAAUGUGUAGAAAUGGCACCACCUGGAAAUGGCUGCAUACUGGGGGCUUCCUGCCUGCUGCAGGCACCUCUUGGUGGGAGUUUGGGAAGAGCGUUACUGGUUUCAAAGGAACUUAUAGGUGCUUUCAGCAGGGAUGAUAUCAGAGUACUGGGAGCAUGGCAGUAUCUAAGGGAAUGUCCUGUUACAUGUGGACCACCAGCAUCCCUACGUGUCAGCCCCCGGCUGGUAACUUGCUGUUUUGCUCUCUUUUGGCCUCUUGCAGCUUUGUCUGGUCUGGGUGUGCUGCAGGUUCAGUUGGGUGGGCAGGGAGAGAACUUCAAAAAGCUCCAAAAAACUCCAUCCCCUCCAAAAGCUGCUGUACGGGACACUGUUCUCUGGCUGGCCUUACAUAUGGCCAGGACUGGUGCUACUCCUGUUUCCAAACUCUCUGAUUUUGCAUGUGGCUCCCCAGCACAUCAGUGCAGAAAGGUGUUCAUCCACCAAAUCACCUCUGUUGUCACCUCAGGAAGUCCUUAGCUGUCCCUUCUGCCUUGACUGCAGCCCCAGGACUGUUGGGUCUGGGCUGUGUCUCUGGGGCUGGUGCCAGGGCUUGGGGCAGAAGCAGUGCUGCAAACCUAGACGGGCACCAGGUGCCCACGCACCACCUGAGGAGGCUGAAGGCACCCACUGGUUAUGUGCUGGUGAUCUGCCUCUGCUAACACUGCCAAAAGCACAAAUCAAGAGCUUUUGUAGCUCCUCUGUUGGUAUGGAGCAGGGGGUGGGAAGCUGGAGCUGAUAAAGAGCCUUGCUGGGAGGGAGUAUUCCCACCCUCUGGAGUCCUGUGCUUUUGGCCAUGUUCUUGUGCUAAUCUGGAAAAGCUUCCUGGAAAUAUUGAAACCAGCUGCCCUUUUAAUUAGGGCUGGGAAUGUUUAUAUUACUGAAAGUGUCAAAUUGCUUCAUUACAACAAAAACAGGAGACACUUUGAUCCAGAAAAUUAGAUGACUUCAGCUUUGUGAGAAGCUGGAGCUCUCCUAAGUAUCUGAGAAAGAAGGCAGAGGACAAUGCAGCAGUGGAUGCUCUCAGCUCUGACGUGUGGGCAUGUGUUCAGGGGUAAGCUGAGCGGCGUUAGUCAGCGUGGUGUCUCAGGCUAUGAGCAAAGGUCUCAGGUUCUGCCAAGCAACAUGGUUAAAGUGGAAAAUUCACAACCAAGUAAAUUGUAAAACAAUUGUGUGCAUUGGAAACAAUACCAAUGUUUUUCAAAAAUAAAUGGUUUUGUCACAAGUCCGUUUUUUAUUAU
RNAcentral lists this long non-coding RNA (1514 nucleotides) under Anas platyrhynchos platyrhynchos (common mallard). Its description in RNAcentral is "lncRNA (ENSAPLG00000027226.1)". The record is from RNAcentral. Lineage: Eukaryota; Metazoa; Chordata; Aves; Anseriformes; Anatidae.